This 253-nucleotide ribosomal RNA is filed under the name uncultured bacterium. RNAcentral's name for it is "partial 16S ribosomal RNA". It matches the Rfam family "Bacterial small subunit ribosomal RNA", at positions 524 to 776 of the family's 1533-position model. The record is from RNAcentral.
UACGGAGGAUGCAAGCGUUAUCCGGAAUUAUUGGGCGUAAAGAGCUCGUAGGCGGUCUGUUGCGUCGGCUGUGAAAACCCGAGGCUCAACCUCGGGCCUGCAGCCGAUACGGGCAGACUAGAGUUCGGCAGGGGAGACUGGAAUUCCUGGUGUAGCGGUGAAAUGCGCAGAUAUCAGGAGGAACACCGGUGGCGAAGGCGGGUCUCUGGGCCGAUACUGACGCUGAGGAGCGAAAGCGUGGGGAGCGAACAGG